UACGUAGGGUGCGAGCGUUGCCCGGAUUUAUUGGGCGUAAAGGGCGCGUAGGCGGCUCGGCACGUCCGUUGUGAAAUCGCCCGGCUCAACUGGGCGGGGUCAGCGGAUACGGCCGAGCUUGAGCAAGCUAGGGGGCAAUGGAAUUCCCGGUGUAGUGGUGGAAUGCGUAGAUAUCGGGAGGAACACCAGUGGCGAAGGCGACUUCCUGGCCUGUUCUUGACGCUGAGGCGCGAAAGCUAGGGGAGCAAACGGGG
RNAcentral lists this ribosomal RNA (254 nucleotides) under uncultured bacterium. RNAcentral's name for it is "partial 16S ribosomal RNA". It matches the Rfam family "Bacterial small subunit ribosomal RNA", at positions 524 to 777 of the family's 1533-position model. The record is from RNAcentral.